GUCGCGAAAGGGCACUGCUAACAACCAGCUUGGCACAACAGAAGAGAUUCCUCAUCUCGCAAGCCUCUAAACCAACCAUAGUCGGUUCCCACCCAUGCUGAAAUAGGUAUCGUUCCCAUUUUAACUCCAACUCUAUGAUUCUGGUUUCUGCAAGGGUUAGUCGUGAGGUAGACCGAACAAUUCCAACGUAUUCCCACAUGAUUGACUGUAGUUCUUUCCUCACUUCCCUUGUCUGACGAAUGACUUUGUUAACUACUGUAUCUCCUAGUAACAAGGGUGCUACAGGCCGCGGCCACCAAUUUGAAGCACUGUGACCGAUUUUAGAAAGGUUCAUGUGAUCUAUUGAAGGCUUUACAGCUCUUCGUGCAAACACUAGUGCUUCAGCCAAGGAGUUGCUAGCAAGUCGGUUUGCACCAUGCAAACCAGUACAUGCAACUUCACCUGCCACAUAAAGACCUCGUACAUUAGUCUCACCUUCGAGCCCAG
RNAcentral lists this unclassified non-coding RNA (486 nucleotides) under Hevea brasiliensis (rubber tree). Lineage: Eukaryota; Viridiplantae; Streptophyta; Magnoliopsida; Malpighiales; Euphorbiaceae. The record is from RNAcentral.